GAGUUUGAUCGUGGCUCAGAUUGAACGCUGGCGGCAUGCUUUACACAUGCAAGUCGAACGGCAGCAUGAUCUAGCUUGCUAGAUUGAUGGCGAGUGGCGAACGGGUGAGUAAUACAUCGGAACGUGCCCUGUAGUGGGGGAUAACUAGUCGAAAGAUUAGCUAAUACCGCAUACGACCUGAGGGUGAAAGUGGGGGACCGCAAGGCCUCAUGCUAUAGGAGCGGCCGAUGUCUGAUUAGCUAGUUGGUGGGGUAAAGGCCCACCAAGGCGACGAUCAGUAGCUGGUCUGAGAGGACGAUCAGCCACACUGGGACUGAGACACGGCCCAGACUCCUACGGGAGGCAGCAGUGGGGAAUUUUGGACAAUGGGCGAAAGCCUGAUCCAGCAAUGCCGCGUGUGUGAAGAAGGCCUCGGUGUAAG
Molecule: ribosomal RNA, 421 nt
Filed under: uncultured microorganism
Description: bacterial SSU rRNA
Rfam family: Bacterial small subunit ribosomal RNA
Source: RNAcentral